Molecule: ribosomal RNA, 466 nt
Filed under: uncultured bacterium
Lineage: Bacteria
Description: partial 16S ribosomal RNA
Rfam family: Bacterial small subunit ribosomal RNA
Source: RNAcentral
GAUGAACGCUGGCGGCGUGCUUAACACAUGCCAGUCGAACGAUGAAGCCCAGCUUGCUGGGUGGAUUAGUGGCGAACGGGUGAGUAACACGUGAGUAACCUGCCCUUAACUCUGGGAUAAGCCUGGGAAACUGGGUCUAAUACCGGAUAGGAGCGUCCACCGCAUGGUGGGUGUUGGAAAGAUUUAUCGGUUUUGGAUGGACUCGCGGCCUAUCAGCUUGUUGGUGAGGUAAUGGCUCACCAAGGCGACGACGGGUAGCCGGCCUGAGAGGGUGACCGGCCACACUGGGGCUGAGACACGGCCCAGACUCCUACGGGAGGCAGCAGUGGGGAAUAUUGCACAAUGGGCGCAAGCCUGAUGCAGCGACGCCGCGUGAGGGAUGACGGCCUUCGGGUUGUAAACCUCUUUCAGUAGGGAAGAAGCGAAAGUGACGGUACCUGCAGAAGAAGCACCGGCUAACUACGUG